UCGACUAUAGAGUCGAGUGUUUACUUCUCAUGCGAGAAUAGAGUUAAAAGGAAGUAUUUUUUUUAAUUCAGCAAAGGACACGCUCAUUAGUUUUGAGUUAAUAUCAAUUUGAAUACAAACUUUUGAGAAAUCGUGAGGAACUUAAUUUUAGUAAGACUUGCUAAUUUGCAGACGCAAUGAAUUUGAAUCGGAUUUAAAUUAAAUAGCUGGAUUAUAAAGAGUGUUCUUAAAGCUAAAACAUGUACAAAUACUUAUACAGAUGAUUAGGAAUGAGGGAAUAAUCUUAAACGUGUUGUAUUGAAAAGAUGGCCUUAUACGUGCACUCGUAUCAUACUGGUACUCUGUACCUUCGGUUAUCUGAGGCACUUUCUUGUGGGAUGUGAUCCUGAGUGGUUGUCCGGCAGUUACCAGAAUCGAAGGUAGAUGGCUAGGCAGAUAUAUAUCGCGUAAUACUUGAGACACGACUCCGGAAUACGACAAGCUGAGGAUCAGUUAAACCUGCAUCACUGCUCAAGUACAGAGAAUCAACAUCAGCUUCAUGUAUGAUAUUGGACACAGUAAGAACCGAUGUUUAUCGGAUUAGGUGUGUAAGGCGACCAUGUUGCACAUUGAAGCUCGCACAUUCAGUUGCAUGUUUUACUUUUGAUAUAAUUGACACUUCUAUUUUGAAAUGGCGUAGACAUUUUUCUUGAGCUGCUUGAUAUCUGCCAACAAAAGCUUACUGUUUGGUGUCCUGCUCACAAUAUUUAAAUAAUUGAUAAUAUUACGCAAGUUUCCUUCUUUACUCAAUAUAUAUUAUACGCUAGAGUUUUGUCUUUGAACUAUUCAGCUAGCAACUCAGUAACGCAUUUAAAUAAUAUAAUAAGACAUGACGUUUGUAUAUCAACUUGGAUUUAUUUCAGACCUAGAUAUACGGCUGUCCUAGUCAUUUGAAAGUAUUAAGUCAACAUCAUUUUUACUGAAGUGUCAAGUGUCAAGAUAAGUAAAUGGAUAUUGGGAUUUUUCUUUGCAUUUUAAAUCUUUGACGACAAAUUGUAUCGUGUAUAUUGCAUUUAAUAUCAUUUAAAUAAAUACUCCCUUUUACAUGCUCAAGAUUUAAACAAAAUGCAAUCUACCUUGUGUACCAUUUUGUCUCCAGUUUUAUCCCGAGUUAAGUGCUUUAAAGCUAGCUUUCAUUAUUGGUAUAAUUAAUAGUGCUAAGAGUGUAUAGAACUAUUAAGACUGUAUGGAAAUAAUAAUAACAUUUCCGAAUCUGUGCAUAGCAAUACUGAAUGAAGUCCAUAUAUCUUACCUUGAUGUCUACCUGUUGUUGUUAUUGGCCACAUCCGACCAGAAUAUGUCUCAUAUGAUCUCAAGCUCAGAGAUUAGUAUUUGUAUGCAUAAUAUGUAGAAAGGGGUAAAAACGUAUGUAAGAAAUAAUAAAAUAAUAUUUUCCAAUUUUUACCUGUAAUAAUUUGAUGCAAAUGUCUUGUAAAGUCUGGAUGAUGUUUUUGUUAUGAUAAAUACCCUUAUGUCUGGUUUAAAAUCGGUUAGCUUAAUAUCUGUAAUAUCAUUGUUGUAUCCCCUUUAUAUAAAGCUGUUGUACCAGAUAUAUGCACUAUUUUUGAGAAAAGGAUUUUAGUCGAAUAUAAUGAUUAAUAACUAAUAACCAAUUUUAUUGACAGGAAAUUAUGAAGGUAUUUUAAGGCACAGCAUUGAAAUACGAUCAACUGAGGAUCAGUGCAACCGUCAUCACUGCUCAUGUAGAAAAUCAUCUUUAGCUUGAGGAAAUGGUUACAAUAGAAACGACAGUCAACACUGAAUUCCUGUUCGAAAGGGCCCAAGGGCGCUUUCUGGCAGCAUGUGGUCCAGGGUUGUCCGGCUUGCACCUGAAGGGAAGAUGAGGCGGUAUGCCGAAUAAACUACCUCGGACUUUGACAAGCUUGGUUUCUGCUUUCGCUGUAUCACAGUUGUACCCCUUGGACUGGUGUUUAACUGAUGAUUUACAUUUUGAGAAAUGCAGGACCGAGUUUCUUCUUACAGGUUAAAAAUGCGGAACAUGGGAAAGGUGACCAAAUGAAUAAAGCGUAGCUGAAUGAUGUCAGGCUGUGAUCUACUUAGCCAUCUAUCAGCAUUGUUGGUAAAUGCCAGACCACCCAGAACACCACACUUCCAGGAAGUGCUUCUUGUGACAUCAGUGUUAGGGUUUCAGUAAAGAGGAAUAUUACUUUUCCACUAAAUUCCUGAUAUGGAGGUCACAUGUUAUUAUUCCUAACAGGAUAUGGCCUUUUUUUGUCCGAUGAAUAUCCAGAAUCACAGGUGAUAUGCCGGAGACACAACACCAAAAUGUGAACGACAUUGGAUUCAUCAAAAGAUAUCACAGUUGUCUCUCUUUGACCGCUGUAAAAAGAAUAGGGCAAACCUGCAGUUUUUGGGCAAGCAGGAAGGCCAAUACGCCCCGAUAUUCAACACUGAAUCACUGAUCUGGAGGUCACAUGAGAAAUUCCUGUAUUAAAGUUGUUCUUGGUUGUCAGAUAUGUCAAUACGUGCAAACUGCAAUACUGAUCUGGAGGUUACAAAAGACUUUAGCUGGAAGGAUUUUAUCCUGUUGUGUCCAGCAUUUAUUAUAAUAACAGCAAUGCAUUUCGGUCAAAGGAUUGCUUCUAACAAUUGCCUCUGUAUUAUGAAAUAUUUCAAAAUUACAAUAUUCUAUACAUGUGUUAAACACACAUGUGAGCGUAGAUUAUUGAACUAUGUAAACAAAGAUAUUGAACAUAUUCUUGGUUUUUUAUGUAUUAUGAACGAGAAUGACCAAACAAACCUAAUGAAUGGUAGCAAAUUUGUCAUGACAAUAUGUAAAACACUGUAAAUCUUACCUGGCUUUCACUUAAUAUUAUUGAACUGUUAAUUAAUCUGAAUAUGUAUCUUGUUUGAAUAAAUUAGAUAUAUUUAGAACGCUUAUAGUCUGGUUGAACGCCCUAUAUUUAUACUUUAGUACAUAUGUACUCUGCAUUACAUGUAUUUAUAUCUUUUCUCAUACUGUAUGUUUUGCGUGAACAAUAAAAUUGUAAACAGCAA
Long non-coding RNA from Mya arenaria, 3057 nucleotides. RefSeq lists it as uncharacterized. The transcript has 11 exons. The record is from RefSeq and is a predicted model, not a curated record. NCBI's taxonomy places the organism in Eukaryota, Metazoa, Mollusca, Bivalvia, Myida, Myidae.